AAUUUCCAAAAUCUGUGAUGAUUCCAAGUUAUAAAAGGAUCAAAAUAACUCCAAGAGAAAUACAAAGGUAAAGAACAGGUAGACACAAAACACCCCCAUCAAGCCAGGAUGAUAUUGUGGUCAAUUGAAUAAAAUUAUAGAGAGAUGCUAAAGUGAACUAUGUGAAUUAAAUGUUUCCUACAUAGAAAAGGGGGGCAAUUGUAAACAACAUAGAUAAAAACCACAAAUAGAAGAAGUAUCUACAACUUAGAUUGGAAAUUCAAAAAAUUAAAAGGGAACAGUUGAAAUUUCUAGUAGACCCGUCAAAUCAAAUCAAACUUUUAACUCUUAGUUCUAUUUCAAACUCCCUUCUCUGUUAUGACUACUAUUACAUUACCAACAUAAAUUUCACCCAGGGCAAUACAAUUGAAUAGUCUUGAGAAAAAA
Molecule: unclassified non-coding RNA, 426 nt
Filed under: Hevea brasiliensis (rubber tree)
Lineage: Eukaryota; Viridiplantae; Streptophyta; Magnoliopsida; Malpighiales; Euphorbiaceae
Source: RNAcentral